Non-coding RNA from Penaeus vannamei (Pacific white shrimp), 1050 nucleotides. The record is from RefSeq and is a predicted model, not a curated record. Lineage: Eukaryota; Metazoa; Arthropoda; Malacostraca; Decapoda; Penaeidae.
UAUGUAUUUGAUCAGUUUCCAGACCUUAAUCAACCCAGACUUAACAAAGCGCGGUGAUGGCUACACAAGCAGCUAUGGUGCUCCUGGCAGAGGACCACCUCCAGGACCUCCACCAAGAAGAAUGGGAAGGAUCCACCGAGGAGGCGGUGCUGCUCCCCCACCCAUGGGAGGGGGAGGAUGAGGCAGGUAAAUCCCUCAGUUGGGCUUUGUGCCAUGCCCACUGAGGGAGCCUGUAACUUGUGGUGAUCUUUGCUGUUGUUGCUUUGCACUCACAGGCUUCUGGCAAGAAGUACAGAUGGAGUUCUGUAUUGUUUUGCUGUGCAGAACUUAGUACAGACUUAAAUGCAUAGUGGCAUUCACAGGAAAAAAAAUAGUGCCAAGCUCCAUUCAGAAAUAGGUCUAGGUUCCCGGGACUGUGAGUAACAGAGCGAUGUUUAUAUGACGUGACACUUGAGAAACCAUUAACUUGGGCAGGUGUUGCUGAAGAACCAGCAUGGAUCACCACGCCAUGCCAAUAGAAAACUCGUGAGGAAUAAGAAUUUACAUAUUACUUGUGUUGAUGUUCACAUCAUGGUAUGCAUUACCGUCUUUACCUUCUUUUCAUUCCUAGUGAAAUGUUAUGUAAGUGACACAGAGUAUUUAAGUAUUAUAUAUUAAACAUUAUGUUUGUCAGUAGAAUUAUUUAUGUAAUUUUGACGAAUACCACACGUACAGCAUAUCACACCUGAAAUGUGUUUUACACCUUUUGGAUGUGGUAGCUAUCACAUGGAGUGGCAGUUGUGCUAAAGACAGGGAAGGAAUAGAACCUUGUUUGGAUAGCAUAUUUUCACAUUUUUCAACAUUGUAUUAUUUGGUCUUUUAUAUGUUCUGCAGUUAUAGAUGAAUCAUAAUUUAGAAAAUUAGCAUCAUAAUACUUUUUGUUAUAUUUUGCAACUGCCAAACGUUGAAUAGAUAUACUUAUCCCAUUUUUUUCAUACAUGGGAAUUGAUAAGGUAUCACGAAAAGCCUUCCAUUGUCAGGACAAUCUUGAAUAAACCAUUCUGGAUAAAA